UGGGUUGUGGCUCAGUGGUGGAGCACUUGUCUUGCAUGCAUAAGGCCCUGGGUUCGAUCCUCAGCACCACAU
This 72-nucleotide transfer RNA is filed under the name Ictidomys tridecemlineatus (thirteen-lined ground squirrel). Its description in RNAcentral is "Spermophilus tridecemlineatus (thirteen-lined ground squirrel) tRNA". It matches the Rfam family "tRNA". Rfam says of the family: Transfer RNA (tRNA) molecules are approximately 80 nucleotides in length. Their secondary structure includes four short double-helical elements and three loops (D, anti-codon, and T loops). Further hydrogen bonds mediate the characteristic L-shaped molecular structure. tRNAs have two regions of fundamental functional importance: the anti-codon, which is responsible for specific mRNA codon recognition, and the 3' end, to which the tRNAs corresponding amino acid is attached (by aminoacyl-tRNA synthetases). tRNAs cope with the degeneracy of the genetic code in two manners: having more than one tRNA (with a specific anti-codon) for a particular amino acid; and 'wobble' base-pairing, i.e. permitting non-standard base-pairing at the 3rd anti-codon position. The record is from Rfam by way of RNAcentral. Lineage: Eukaryota; Metazoa; Chordata; Mammalia; Rodentia; Sciuridae.